AAAAGAAACAACAGGGAUUGCCUAGUAACGGCGAGUGAAGCGGCAACAGCUCAAAUUUGAAAUCUGGCCUCACGGUCCGAGUUGUAAUUUGUAGAGGAUGCUUCUGGCGACGUGCCUUCCGAGUUCCCUGGAACGGGACGCCAUAGAGGGUGAGAGCCCCGUCCGGUCGUGCACCUAGCCUCUGUGAAGCUCCUUCGACGAGUCGAGUAGUUUGGGAAUGCUGCUCUAAAUGGGAGGUAUACGUCUUCUAAAGCUAAAUACCGGCCAGAGACCGAUAGCGCACAAGUAGAGUGAUCGAAAGAUGAAAAGCACUUUGAAAAGAGGGUUAAAUAGUACGUGAAAUUGCUGAAAGGGAAGCGCUUAUGACCAGACUUGGGCUCGGUGAAUCAUCCGGCGUUCUCGCCGGUGCACUUUGCCGUCCCAGGCCAGCAUCAGUUCGCGCCGGGGGAUAAAGGUUUCGGGAACGUGGCUCCCUCGGGAGUGUUAUAGCCCGUUGCGUAAUACCCUGGCGUGGACUGAGGUCCGCGCUCUGCAAGGAUGCUGGCGUAAUGGUCAUCAGUGACCCGUCUUGAAACACGGACCAAGGAGUCGUCUUCGUAUGCGAGUGUUCGGGUGUCAAACCCCUACGCGUAAUGAAAGUGAACGUAGGAGAGAGCUUCGGCGCAUCUCCGACCGAUCCUGAUGUUCUCGGAUGGAUUUGAGUAAGAGCAUACGGGGCCGGACCCGAAAGAAGGUGAACUAUGCCUGUAUAGGGUGAAGCCAGAGGAAACUCUGGUGGAGGCUCGCAGCGGUUCUGACGUGCAAAUCGAUCGUCAAAAUAUGGGCAUGGGGGCGAAAGAC
Molecule: ribosomal RNA, 840 nt
Filed under: Acremonium alternatum
Lineage: Eukaryota; Fungi; Ascomycota; Sordariomycetes; Hypocreales; Bionectriaceae
Description: eukaryotic LSU rRNA
Rfam family: Eukaryotic large subunit ribosomal RNA
Source: RNAcentral